UUUAAGCAUUGGAGUGCUAAUAUUUGUUUUGCAGGUUAGUCUUCCAUUGAUUUUAAGAUUUUCUUGAAAAAUUUUUACUUUUUCAUUUUUUCUUCUCCUUUCUACCUGUGUUUCGAACUAAUUUGAGGCUCCAUCAUCGAAGGUCCCCACCAAAUUAAAUAUCCUAUAAUUAGGACGAUUAGUUUCAUUAUUGUGAAAGGACGGAUAACACAUGUUAUCCAACCAAAUUAAAUAAUUAAUUCGUUUCACUUUGCAUUUAGGGAGCAUCUAAAUUGAUGGAUUUAGAUAUCGUGGAUUAAAAAUUACAUCUCAUUUGUUUGGAUUUCAAAAAAAAAAAAAAAUAUAUAUUGCGCCUGAAACCCCUACGGGUGGGAUCUCCGGCCGUUUGAUCCGUUGCGGUUCCUGGACAACUCUCAAGAUACAAAUAUUGGGAUCUGAUCUGAAGCGAAGCUCUCUUGCAGCAUCUGGGCAUCUAUGGCGCUUAGAAGCUCUCUCAUCAGUGGAGCCUGGACUACUGUGAAAGACAGGUUCAGGAUAUCUACUCUCACACCAUUCUGCCAUGUUGAACUCUGAUCUGGAAAAUUCGUGCAUUAGUUCCCCAUUCAGAUCACAAUAUUUCCAAGCCAAAUUUCCCCCAACACAGAACUUCUCUAUUGCAUCAUCACCACAUCCAUCUAUCCUUGUCUCGUUAAACGUUGGAGGAUAUCCCUUUUCAAGAUUCUUCCUGUUCGAUUCGGCUCACUAUUCUACUUAGCUCAUUUGCAUCAUUUUUUAAUAGUGUUAAAUGCUUCUGUUUGCUUGAUGGUGUUUUUAGUUGAUUUGAUAACGUGCAAUGCUUUGAAACACUUGUAAAUAAAUUGAGUUGAAUCAAUGUAUUUGCGACUGACAUGAAAUAAAGAUGUUCAACAGCAGUGGAGCA
Non-coding RNA from Sesamum indicum (sesame), 919 nucleotides. The record is from RefSeq and is a predicted model, not a curated record. NCBI's taxonomy places the organism in Eukaryota, Viridiplantae, Streptophyta, Magnoliopsida, Lamiales, Pedaliaceae.